This 497-nucleotide ribosomal RNA is filed under the name uncultured bacterium. RNAcentral describes it as "partial 16S ribosomal RNA". It matches the Rfam family "Bacterial small subunit ribosomal RNA", at positions 28 to 507 of the family's 1533-position model. The record is from RNAcentral.
GAUGAACGCUGGCGGCGUGCCUAAUACAUGCCAGUCGAGCGAACAGACGAGGAGCUUGCUCCUCUGACGUUAGCGGCGGACGGGUGAGUAACACGUGGAUAACCUACCUAUAAGACUGGGAUAACUUCGGGAAACCGGAGCUAAUACCGGAUAAUAUAUUGAACCGCAUGGUUCAAUAGUGAAAGACGGUUUUGCUGUCACUGAUAGAUGGAUCCGCGCCGCAUUAGCUAGUUGGUAAGGUAACGGCUUACCAAGGCAACGAUGCGUAGCCGACCUGAGAGGGUGAUCGGCCACACUGGAACUGAGACACGGUCCAGACUCCUACGGGAGGCAGCAGUAGGGAAACUUCCGCAAUGGGCGAAAGCCUGACGGAGCAACGCCGCGUGAGUGAUGAAAGUCUUCGGAUCGUAAAACUCUGUUAUUAGGGAAGAACAAAUGUGUAAGUAACUAGGCACGUCUUGACGGUACCUAAUCAGAAAGCCACGGCUAACUACGUG